RNAcentral lists this non-coding RNA (31 nucleotides) under Mus musculus (house mouse). The record is from RNAcentral. Lineage: Eukaryota; Metazoa; Chordata; Mammalia; Rodentia; Muridae.
UGCAUGUUCAGACCGUGUUGAGGUGGUGAGA